Daphnia magna is the source of this 330-nucleotide long non-coding RNA. RefSeq lists it as uncharacterized. The record is from RefSeq and is a predicted model, not a curated record. The transcript has 2 exons. NCBI's taxonomy places the organism in Eukaryota, Metazoa, Arthropoda, Branchiopoda, Diplostraca, Daphniidae.
GGCACGCCAGCAGGUGAUUGAUUUUAGGCAGUCUUUGAUCAAAACUGCCAUCUGGUGUUUUGCUGUUUAAACCUUUUCGCCUGAUUUUUAUCACUUUAUAGUAAUCUGUUAAAAAUUACAAUCGAUAAAUUAUAGUCAAGGGUGAAUUGUAACGAUUCAGUCACGAUCAACUUUUGCCGAAAUGGGCUACCAAUAUUACCAAUCUUACCUGGUAUCCUAUACGUGAUACGUGUGCCUCAUACCAGUAGCUCUUGAAUUCACCACACGAAAAAGCUUGUCCAACAACCUGUAGAUCCGUUUACUCAGAAUUAAAUUUUUUUGCUAGUGUGA